AGAGUUUGAUCAUGGCUCAGAUUGAACGCUGGCGGCAGGCCUAACACAUGCAAGUCGAGCGGUAGCACAGAGAGCUUGCUCUCGGGUGACGAGCGGCGGACGGGUGAGUAAUGUCUGGGAAACUGCCUGAUGGAGGGGGAUAACUACUGGAAACGGUAGCUAAUACCGCAUAACGUCGCAAGACCAAAGUGGGGGACCUUCGGGCCUCAUGCCAUCAGAUGUGCCCAGAUGGGAUUAGCUAGUAGGUGGGGUAACGGCUCACCUAGGCGACGAUCCCUAGCUGGUCUGAGAGGAUGACCAGCCACACUGGAACUGAGACACGGUCCAGACUCCUACGGGAGGCAGCAGUGGGGAAUAUUGCACAAUGGGCGCAAGCCUGAUGCAGCCAUGCCGCGUGUGUGAAGAAGGCCUUCGGGUUGUAAAGCACUUUCAGCGGGGAGGAAGGCGUUAAGGUUAAUAACCUCAUCGAUUGACGUUACCCGCAGAAGAAGCACCGGCUAACUCCGUGCCAGCAGCCGCGGUAAUACGGAGGGUGCAAGCGUUAAUCGGAAUUACUGGGCGUAAAGCGCACGCAGGCGGUCUGUCAAGUCGGAUGUGAAAUCCCCGGGCUCAACCUGGGAACUGCAUUCGAAACUGGCAGGCUAGAGUCUUGUAGAGGGGGGUAGAAUUCCAGGUGUAGCGGUGAAAUGCGUAGAGAUCUGGAGGAAUACCGGUGGCGAAGGCGGCCCCCUGGACAAAGACUGACGCUCAGGUGCGAAAGCGUGGGGAGCAAACAGGAUUAGAUACCCUGGUAGUCCACGCCGUAAACGAUGUCGAUUUGGAGGUUGUGCCCUUGAGGCGUGGCUUCCGGAGCUAACGCGUUAAAUCGACCGCCUGGGGAGUACGGCCGCAAGGUUAAAACUCAAAUGAAUUGACGGGGGCCCGCACAAGCGGUGGAGCAUGUGGUUUAAUUCGAUGCAACGCGAAGAACCUUACCUGGUCUUGACAUCCACAGAACUUUCCAGAGAUGGAUUGGUGCCUUCGGGAACUGUGAGACAGGUGCUGCAUGGCUGUCGUCAGCUCGUGUUGUGAAAUGUUGGGUUAAGUCCCGCAACGAGCGCAACCCUUAUCCUUUGUUGCCAGCGGUUAGGCCGGGAACUCAAAGGAGACUGCCAGUGAUAAACUGGAGGAAGGUGGGGAUGACGUCAAGUCAUCAUGGCCCUUACGACCAGGGCUACACACGUGCUACAAUGGCAUAUACAAAGAGAAGCGACCUCGCGAGAGCAAGCGGACCUCAUAAAGUAUGUCGUAGUCCGGAUUGGAGUCUGCAACUCGACUCCAUGAAGUCGGAAUCGCUAGUAAUCGUAGAUCAGAAUGCUACGGUGAAUACGUUCCCGGGCCUUGUACACACCGCCCGUCACACCAUGGGAGUGGGUUGCAAAAGAAGUAGGUAGCUUAACCUUCGGGAGGGCGCUUACCACUUUGUGAUUCAUGACUGGGGUGAAGUCGUAACAAGGUAACCGUAGGGGAACCUGCGGUUGGAUCACCU
This 1528-nucleotide ribosomal RNA is filed under the name Klebsiella pneumoniae. RNAcentral's name for it is "bacterial SSU rRNA". It matches the Rfam family "Bacterial small subunit ribosomal RNA". The record is from RNAcentral. Lineage: Bacteria; Pseudomonadati; Pseudomonadota; Gammaproteobacteria; Enterobacterales; Enterobacteriaceae.